Arvicanthis niloticus (Nile rat) is the source of this 103-nucleotide small nuclear RNA. Lineage: Eukaryota; Metazoa; Chordata; Mammalia; Rodentia; Muridae. The record is from RefSeq and is a predicted model, not a curated record.
GUGCUUCAGCAGCACAAAUACUAAAAUUGGAAAAAUACAGAAAAGAUUAUCAUGGCUCCUGUGCAAGGAUGACAUGCAAAUUUGUGAAGUGUUCCAUAUUUUU